GUGAGCAUAGCUCACUGGUAGAGCAUUUGAUUAACAUGCACAAGAUCCUGGGUUCAAUCCCCAGGAACACA
Molecule: transfer RNA, 71 nt
Filed under: Cricetulus griseus (Chinese hamster)
Lineage: Eukaryota; Metazoa; Chordata; Mammalia; Rodentia; Cricetidae
Rfam family: tRNA
About the family: Transfer RNA (tRNA) molecules are approximately 80 nucleotides in length. Their secondary structure includes four short double-helical elements and three loops (D, anti-codon, and T loops).
Source: Rfam by way of RNAcentral